Magnolia sinica is the source of this 489-nucleotide long non-coding RNA. RefSeq lists it as uncharacterized. The transcript has 2 exons. The record is from RefSeq and is a predicted model, not a curated record. NCBI's taxonomy places the organism in Eukaryota, Viridiplantae, Streptophyta, Magnoliopsida, Magnoliales, Magnoliaceae.
UAAGGGAAGACUCUUCAGAUGCAAGUACGAUUUUGCCAGUAUUGAAUCUAUAGUGUCGAUAUAUGGCAACCUCCUAUUGGUCUAUGUUAGUGUACUAAAAAUGGGUGUAACAAUAUCAUCGAUUUAUUUCUCAACCAUUUAAUUAUUUUUAAGAAAUAAUUAGACACAAAGGGAGCACAAAAUUUAUGUGGUUCACCAAUGGCAGCUAACACACACACACACACACAUACAUAAUGAAUGUGAUCAUGAAGAUGAAAGAGAAACCAUCCCCUGUUUAAUAAGCAAAGUAAAAUACUCUCCCACCCUACGGAUGCAUUUUUGUCGUUUCAUUUUAUAAAUUUUCUAGAAACCCCAUUUCCGUUUGCUGUAAGGAAAUGUUCAUUUCUGUUUCCCUCCCAUUUCUUGUAAAAUGCUCUUUUCAUCAUUUCCUUACCUGUGUUACGUAAUUCUCAAGAAUUAACAAAAAAGAGAGGAAGCAAUCAAUCUCUC